Molecule: long non-coding RNA, 773 nt
Organism: Pyrus x bretschneideri (Chinese white pear)
Lineage: Eukaryota; Viridiplantae; Streptophyta; Magnoliopsida; Rosales; Rosaceae
Exons: 2
Source: RefSeq, a predicted model, not a curated record
CUAGAACCUAACUCUCUUUCUCUCUUUUCCUCACAGCAGCCUAAUCAGGUAUUGUGAUCAUUUUCUUCUGACCAAUCCCGUGUGCACACACACACAUACACCCACACAUGUACGCAUCCUUCUUCUCUCCCUCACUUUCUCGACCUUUCCUCGUCCAUUCACCGUAGCACACAUACACCCAACCAUCAUCAACUCUCAUGGAUCGAGCUUUUGAAGACCACAUUCGUGUUCCUUGCAAGCUUAGGAACCUAACCAUACCCUUAGUUUGAAGAACAGAUCACGAGAACUUGAGAAACCAUAACCUCCGGCGAGGUGAAGUUUUCUCUGUCACAAUCCUGACGUGAUUUCGAGGUUUUAAGGCUUAGUAAGGAUACUUUCAACAAAAUUCAUAUAAUCAUAAGAAACAAAAGCAUCACCACAAGGGAGGGCAACCAUUCAUGCUAGGAAGGCUCACAAAGUAAUGAAGAAAAAGAAGGAUGAAGUUAAAGGAGAAGUAUUCAAGAAGCACUUGAGGUAGUGAUGGUGAUCUUUCAGAUGACCACAAUACUUGUGCUAAACUGGAAGACCAUGAUAUGGAUGACGACAUAUGUCGUUGGUUUCAAACAUGCACAUGGUAUACCUGUUUUGUUACCAACACAAUGUCUUAAACUCUAGUUAGCAUCUCUGUAUGUCUAGAGGUGUAAGGAUGGUUAUGUUAGCUUUUGGGAUGUGCACUUGGUAUAUUUACUGGAUGUUACCUAAAUCAUUGAUUAAUGAAAAUGUGUUUCGCCAAA